This 45-nucleotide non-coding RNA is filed under the name Schistosoma mansoni. Lineage: Eukaryota; Metazoa; Platyhelminthes; Trematoda; Strigeidida; Schistosomatidae. The record is from RNAcentral.
GUUCAGCAGAAGAGUCUCAAAUAGGAUGAAACGCACAUCCUGGAU